Molecule: small RNA, 577 nt
Filed under: Pongo abelii (Sumatran orangutan)
Lineage: Eukaryota; Metazoa; Chordata; Mammalia; Primates; Hominidae
Description: retained intron
Source: RNAcentral
CUAAAUAGAAUUAUUUUUAUUCUUGUCCUUUUAAAAUCAUGUCUGCAGUGAAAUUAAGCUUUAAGCUCCUAGCUAGAAAUCCACUGGUGACCUUGAAGAAUUUUAUACUUGUAGAGCUGGUUUCUGAUGUUGCAUAUAAAUGUAUGCAUCUCAUUAUAUAAGAGCUGUAUUUAUAAAUCUGGCAUUGGACAGUGUUUGACACUAGAAUAAAAGCCUGGUUUUGGAAAGUAUGGAAUGAUCAGUAAACAUAGCUACUUACCUACAUACAUGCAUGCCACCACUCAGGAAAAUAUAACUUGUUUCAAAAUCUUUGCUUUUCAGAUGAAAUACCUGUCACAAAGAGAACAUUAAAAAUAAAACAAGAAUCUUCUGAAGAAGCACAGAAGAGAGACAUCAUGCAGAAUAUUGUACAGAUUUUGGAAUCGGUACAGUUGAAAUGGGAACUUUUUCAGAGCUGGACAGACUUUUCAAGGCUCCAUCUUUCUAAUAAACUGGCCAUUUUUGGAAUUGGUUAUAACACCCGUUGGAAAGAGGAUAUCCGUUACCAUUAUGCUGAGAUCAGCUCCCAGGUGCCCCU